RNAcentral lists this unclassified non-coding RNA (305 nucleotides) under plant metagenome. Its description in RNAcentral is "partial contains 5.8S ribosomal RNA, internal transcribed spacer 2, and large subunit ribosomal RNA". The stretch from base 1 to 105 matches the Rfam family "5.8S ribosomal RNA", at positions 50 to 154 of the family's 154-position model. The record is from RNAcentral.
GAAAUGCGAUAAGUAGUGUGAAUUGUAGAAUUCAGUGAAUCAUCGAAUCUUUGAACGCACAUUGCGCCCUUUGGUAUUCCUUAGGGCAUGCCUGUUCGAGCGUCAUUUGUAACCUCAAGCUCAGCUUGGUGUUGGGUGUCUGUCCCCGCCCCGCGCGGGGACUCGCCUCAAAAAGAUUGGCGGCCGGUACGUUGGCUUCGAGCGCAGCAGAAACGCGAACUCGAGGCCCGACGGAUCGGCGACCAGAAGUCACUUCUUCCACAGCUUGACCUCGGAUCAGGUAGGGAUACCCGCUGAACUUAAGC